This is a long non-coding RNA of Neoarius graeffei (lesser salmon catfish), 587 nucleotides long. RefSeq lists it as uncharacterized. The transcript has 2 exons. NCBI's taxonomy places the organism in Eukaryota, Metazoa, Chordata, Actinopteri, Siluriformes, Ariidae. The record is from RefSeq and is a predicted model, not a curated record.
UUUAAGUUUUUUAAAUGUUAUAUUUUGAUUGUUUCUGGUAAAUAAACAUCUCAGUAAUAGACCUGUUCACAGUUUGUACACAAUAAUGACGUAGUACAUAUGCAAGCGCAUUUUGGCAACAGAAGUAUGGCAGAGAUCAACAGCUUGUCAAGCUAUGCAAGGGGAUUAACAACAAAAGAUCACGAAUGUUACCUCAACAUGUUGACUUUAACAAAUGGUGACGGACUUCCAUAUCUGUAUGCUAUUAUUAAGUGGAUUGAAGAUGUUAGCAAGUGGCUGAAUAUGCAGUGGCCAGAUAUAUAUACGUAUUUGAUUGAGAAACUGAGCAUGUACACCAGAGAGAAAUUACGAGCCUAAAAGUCAUUGGAUGCUUAUAAUCAACAAAUGAGAAAACUACAGUACGUCCUCACAGUGAAUUGCACCUGUAUGGCAGGCUCGCACAACCGGUGCCUGUCUCUGACCUGGAAUUCUGAUCACACUUCUGAUUCUUGCUUGCAGCUCACCCAACCAAGACCAGUCCCUGACCUUAAACUUUGAUCACCAAUUUGGAUUUGUUUGACCUAUCUCAGUAAAAGAACUGAACUGCA